AUAUAUUUUUUAAAUAAAUGUGUCUUUAAAGGUGACCUAACAGCACCAUAUGAAACUGCUAAGGUAUUAAUAGCAUCAAUGUUUUAAGGGACAAAAGCAUUUCAUGGGCCGCAGUGGGAAAAAUUCUAGAAUGCAACGGUUAUAUUGGUGACGUGGCGUAACAAAUCAAUCAAAAAUCUCCUUUUAAAGAUAUUUGUCCCAUCAUGAUUAUAAAAAAGUAUUUUUAUUGUACUUUUGUUUGAAAAGAAAAAAGAUGAUUGGCUUAUUAUUGAUGAUGCGUUGUAAGUGUGAUAGUGCAGAAUUCCUCCUGCAGUGGCCGCCGAUUUGUAGGCAGUGGUGUGGAUGAAGUUUACUGUGUAACAUUUACACUAUAUUAUUUAUCCUCGGCCAAUCUAUAUCUCUUAUUUUGUGAGAAAAUAUAAUAAAAAUAUUUUUUUAAAAAAUUAUGAUGAAUGGGUGAACCCUAUAAAAGUUUUUUGAUUGAUUGGGAACACCGUAUCAGCAAUAUAAAUAUUAUAUUUUAAAAUUUUUCUAGUGGUAGAGAAUAUAAUUGCAAGAAAAAUCGUACGUAAUGCACAUAUUAGUAGAAUAUAAAUCGUGCAUCUUAUUGUUUAAAAAUUUAACAAUUUUUUAAAAUUUUUCGUUAGAAAAUAAUUUAUAAAAUUAUUAAAAAAAGGUGAUCUUUUAAUGAAUACAAUAUAAAAUUAUACUGGUAAUACAAACGCACUCGAUCGAGUGAGGAGACAAUCAAAGUGAGAUUGAAAUAUAAAUAUUGAAAUACCAUUUUUCGAUAACUUAGUAUUUCGAAGAACAACAGUUAUUUUAUAUCUUUUAACACGAUAUCAAAACAUGCUGUCCUGAAUUCGAGUUUAACCAUACUCUAAUUUAAUUUAAUAUCUUUCUAUUUAAUUUAAGUUUACUUUUCUGAUCGAUUAAAGAAUAAAGAGUUUCGAACUUAGACGCGAAGAACUGUUAUACUCUAUAAUAAA
Molecule: long non-coding RNA, 989 nt
Filed under: Ananas comosus (pineapple)
Lineage: Eukaryota; Viridiplantae; Streptophyta; Magnoliopsida; Poales; Bromeliaceae
Description: long non-coding RNA (ACOM_LNC004128)
Source: RNAcentral